Molecule: ribosomal RNA, 497 nt
Filed under: uncultured bacterium
Lineage: Bacteria
Description: partial 16S ribosomal RNA
Rfam family: Bacterial small subunit ribosomal RNA
Source: RNAcentral
GAUGAACGCUGGCGGCGUGCCUAAUACAUGCAAGUCGAGCGAACAGACGAGGAGCUUGCUCCUCUGACGUUAGCGGCGGACGGGUGAGUAACACGUGGAUAACCUACCUAUAAGACUGGGAUAACUUCGGGAAACCGGAGCUAAUACCGGAUAAUAUAUUGAACCGCAUGGUUCAAUAGUGAAAGACGGUUUUGCUGUCACUUAUAGAUGGAUCCGCGCCGCAUUAGCUAGUUGGUAAGGUAACGGCUUACCAAGGCGACGAUGCGUAGCCGACCUGAGGGGGUGAUCGGCCACACUGGAACUGAGACACGGUCCAGACUCCUACGGGAGGCAGCAGUAGGGAAUCUUCCGCAAUGGGCGAAAGCUUGCCGGAGCAACGCCGCGUGAGUGAUGAAGUUCUUCGGAUCGUAAACCUCUGUUAUUAGGGAAGAACAAAUGUGUAAGUAACUAUGCACGUCUUGACGGUACCUAAUCAGAAAGCCACGGCUAACUACGUG